Molecule: ribosomal RNA, 253 nt
Filed under: uncultured bacterium
Lineage: Bacteria
Description: partial 16S ribosomal RNA
Rfam family: Bacterial small subunit ribosomal RNA
Source: RNAcentral
GACAGAGGUGCCGAGCGUUAGGCGGAAUCACUGGGCUUAAAGCGUGUGUAGGCGGGUCGUUAAGUGUCUUGUGAAAUCCCCCGGCUCAACCGGGGAAUGGCUGGGCAUACUAGCGAUCUUGAGCAGUCUAGGGGCAGAUGGAACAAGUGGUGGAGCGGUGAAAUGCGUAGAUAUCGUUUGGAACGCCAAUGGUGAAAACAGGUUGCUGGGGUUAUGCUGACGCUGAGGAGCGAAAGCGUGGGGAGCGAACAGG